Molecule: ribosomal RNA, 342 nt
Filed under: uncultured bacterium
Lineage: Bacteria
Description: bacterial SSU rRNA
Rfam family: Bacterial small subunit ribosomal RNA
Source: RNAcentral
AAUCAACGCUGGCGGCGUGCCUCAGACAUGCAAGUCGAACGCGAAAGGUUCCUUCGGGGACCGAGUAGAGUGGCGCACGGGUGAGUAACACGUAGGUAAUUUGCCUUUGGGUGGGGAAUAACUCAGGGAAACUUGAGCUAAUACCGCAUAAUGCAGCGGCUCGACAUCGAGACAGUUGUUAAAGCGGGGGAUUCGCAAGAACCUCGCGCCUAAAGAGAAGCCUGCGGCAGAUAGCUAGUUGGUAAGGUAAUGGCUUACCAAGGCGACGAUCUGUAACCGGCCUGAGAGGGCGGUCGGUCACACUGACACUGACAUACGGGUCAGACUCCUACGGGAGGCAGC